This 498-nucleotide ribosomal RNA is filed under the name uncultured bacterium. RNAcentral describes it as "partial 16S ribosomal RNA". It matches the Rfam family "Bacterial small subunit ribosomal RNA", at positions 28 to 508 of the family's 1533-position model. The record is from RNAcentral.
GAUGAACGCUGGCGGCGUGCCUAAUACAUGCAAGUCGAGCGAACGGACGAGAAGCUUGCUUCUCUGAUGUUAGCGGCGGACGGGUGAGUAACACGUGGAUAACCUACCUAUAAGACUGGGAUAACUUCGGGAAACCGUAGCUAAUACCGGAUAAUAUUUUGAACCGCAUGGUUCAAAAGUGAAAGACGGUCUUGCUGUCACUUAUAGAUGGAUCCGCGCUGCAUUAGCUAGUUGGUAAGGUAACGGCUUACCAAGGCAACGAUGCAUAGCCGACCUGAGAGGGUGAUCGGCCACACUGGAACUGAGACACGGUCCAGACUCCUACGGGAGGCAGCAGUAGGGAAUCUUCCGCAAUGGGCGAAAGCCUGACGGAGCAACGCCGCGUGAGUGAUGAAGGUCUUCGGAUCGUAAAACUCUGUUAUUAGGGAAGAACAUAUGUGUAAGUAACCGUGCACAUCUUGACGGUACCUAAUCAGAAAGCCACGGCUAACUACGUGC